GAACGCAUAUUGCACCUAUUGGUAUUCCGAUGGGUAUGCCUGUUUGAGUGUCAUAAAGACCUUCACCCCACACUUAAUUAUUUGGGUUGUGGAAGUGGACUUGAGCCUGCGUCGGCUGGCUCGAAAAGCAUGGUGGUGAACGACCCGCCAGGUUUAACGUCAUAUCUAUUUUCGCUGGACAAGGCAGAGCUCGUAGCCCUGAUAAUAAUUUUAAAUCUUGACCUCAAAUCAGGUAGGAUUACCCGCUGAACUUAAG
Molecule: unclassified non-coding RNA, 256 nt
Filed under: uncultured fungus
Lineage: Eukaryota; Fungi
Description: sequence contains 5.8S rRNA gene
Rfam family: 5.8S ribosomal RNA (bases 1-53)
Source: RNAcentral